RNAcentral lists this ribosomal RNA (732 nucleotides) under uncultured bacterium. Its description in RNAcentral is "bacterial SSU rRNA". It matches the Rfam family "Bacterial small subunit ribosomal RNA", at positions 100 to 818 of the family's 1533-position model. The record is from RNAcentral.
GGACGGGUGAGUAACACGUGGGUAACCUGCCCUCAUGUGGGGGAUAACAUUUGGAAACAGAUGCUAAUACCGCAUAGAUCCAAGAACCGCAUGGUUCUUGGCUGAAAGAUGGCGUAAGCUAUCGCUUUUGGAUGGACCCGCGGCGUAUUAGCUAGUUGGUGAGGUAAUGGCUCACCAAGGCGAUGAUACGUAGCCGAACUGAGAGGUUGAUCGGCCACAUUGGGACUGAGACACGGCCCAAACUCCUACGGGAGGCAGCAGUAGGGAACCUUCCACAAUGGACGCAAGUCUGAUGGAGCAACGCCGCGUGAGUGAAGAAGGCUUUCGGGUCGUAAAACUCUGUUGUUGGAGAAGAAUGGUCGGCAGAGUAACUGUUGCCGGCGUGACGGUAUCCAACCAGAAAGCCACGGCUAACUACGUGCCAGCAGCCGCGGUAAUACGUAGGUGGCAAGCGUUAUCCGGAUUUAUUGGGCGUAAAGCGAGCGCAGGCGGUUUUUUAAGUCUGAUGUGAAAGCCCUCGGCUUAACCGAGGAAGCGCAUCGGAAACUGGGAAACUUGAGUGCAGAAGAGGACAGUGGAACUCCAUGUGUAGCGGUGAAAUGCGUAGAUAUAUGGAAGAACACCAGUGGCGAAGGCGGCUGUCUGGUCUGUAACUGACGCUGAGGCUCGAAAGCAUGGGUAGCGAACAGGAUUAGAUACCCUGGUAGUCCAUGCCGUAAACGAUGAAUGCUA